This is a long non-coding RNA of Gasterosteus aculeatus aculeatus (three-spined stickleback), 341 nucleotides long. The record is from Ensembl. NCBI's taxonomy places the organism in Eukaryota, Metazoa, Chordata, Actinopteri, Perciformes, Gasterosteidae.
CAAACGGAUCCUGUUUGUUAAGCUAGCUGCUAUGCUAAGCUAGCUGCUGUGCUACUGCCAUCUCAACAUCUGCCCUGUAUGGCACACAGUCUGCAGAGGACCACCACUGUGUCCCUAAAGGACUGUGGUUUGAAAACGUUCUGGCUAAAUGCGGGGACAUUGUUGGCACUUCAAACACAGCCGUUAAAUGAUGGAGAGUUGAGAAGCAAAGUGCACGAGGACAAAAGGAAGAGUCGCCAGUUCAACAUGUCCCACCCGGUGGAAUUCUGUCUCCAAGAUCAAAUGAAAACAGCUUGUGAUGUCACGAGAGGCUUGGUCUUGGAAGGGAGAUACGUUCACCG